GGCUGGCAGGGUAAGGGAGUGGGUUUGAGGUGCUGGCUGUAGGCGAAGGCUGUGGGAACACAACAGUGGUGUGGGCUGGGGGUGCAGACCUCAGGGCAAGUGACCUCCCAUAUCUCUCUCUUUCCCAGGUGAUCUCUGAGAGGCUGUUCUCCUCCCCAGCAUCCCACUCUCCCACCAGGGGAUGCCAGUCAGGGGAGGGAGCAGUCUCCCCUCCAGAGCAGAGUGCAGCAGAGAAGCUCCCAGCCCCUGAUUCCCAGCACCCACAGCUGCUGCAGCUGGCGGUUCAGCUGCUAGAGGAGGCGGAGGAAUCAGAUGGCACUGAAUUCGAGGAGGAUCCACUGCUGGAGGUGCUGCGGGGCCAGCGGGAGGAUCUGUGCAGCCAGCUCCGGGCCGUCGACAUCGCAGUGUCCAGGCUCAUGUCUCAGGGCUUGGCUGAGCCACUCGGCUGCCCCCGCUGACGGUCUCUGGGUCUCCCUCCCUCCUGGCCCUGCUCUGUCUGGAAUCGGCCUGGGGGGGCUGUUAACAAUAUUCUGAGCCGGGGUGACUAGCUGUGAGUCCACGUGCCCCCAUCUCAGGGCCGAGUCAGCCCAGAGCCAGAGCGCGACAAUGUGGUUUAACCUGCGGGUUCCAGCUUCCUGCGCUGGGCGGCCCGAGGCAGUGCAGAGUCACAGCUCUGCCAGAGCCCCCAGGCCCCACGCUGGAGCCCCCCGGACUCCCGGACACGGGCUCUGAGCCCCCACAGGCCCGCAGCACGGACAGUCUGGACAGGACAGGGGAUGGGCCGCUCCGCCCUCUGGGGAACACAGCCGCCACUGUCAAGGGAAAAGCCCCCAAGAGGGCUCCUGGUGCUGAGAUGUUUUCACCUGCCGCUGUGCGGUGCAGGGAUGUAGCAGAGAAUGGCCCAUGCGGAUGCCUGGCUCUUGCUCAAUCAAAUGGGAUUAUUUAUAGUUGGAUACCACGACAUGUUGGGGUAAUCUGUGCUUUGAGGGGUACCAUGAGGGGAUCGGGGUAUCCAGUGC
This 1019-nucleotide long non-coding RNA is filed under the name Gopherus agassizii (Agassiz's desert tortoise). RNAcentral's name for it is "lncRNA (ENSGAGG00000003156.1)". The record is from RNAcentral. Lineage: Eukaryota; Metazoa; Chordata; Testudines; Testudinidae.